CCUACGGGUGGCAGCAGUGAGGAAUAUUGGUCAAUGGGCGCAAGCCUGAACCAGCCACGCCGCGUGAAGGAUGACUGCCCUACGGGUUGUAAACUCCUUUUAUACAGGAGUAAAGUGAGAUACGUGUGUGUAUUUGUAUGUACUGUACGUAUAAGGAUCGGCUAACCCCGUGCCAUCAGCCGCGGUAAUACGGAGGAUCCGAGCGUUAUCCGGAUUUAUUGGGUUUAAAGUGAGCGUAGGCGGGUUGUUAAGUUAGUUGUGAAAGGUUGGGGCUGAACUUGAGAAUUGCAAGUGAUACUGGCAGACUAGAGUACAGGUGAGGAAGGCGGAAUUCGUGGUGUAGCGGUGAAAUGCUUAGAUAUCAGGAAGAACACCGAUUGCGAAGGCAGCUUACUAAACUGCAACUGACGUUGAGGCGCGAAAGUGUGGGUAGCAAACAGGAUUAGAUACCCUAGUAGUC
This 460-nucleotide ribosomal RNA is filed under the name uncultured bacterium. RNAcentral's name for it is "partial 16S ribosomal RNA". It matches the Rfam family "Bacterial small subunit ribosomal RNA", at positions 338 to 795 of the family's 1533-position model. The record is from RNAcentral.